CUACGGGUCGCUCCAGUGAGGAAUAUUGCACAAUGGGGGGAACCCUGAUGCAGCAACGCCGCGUGGAGGAUGACGCAUUUCGGUGUGUAAACUCCUUUUAUAUGUCAAGAAAAUGACGGUAGCAUAUGAAUAAGCACCGGCUAACUCCGUGCCAGCAGCCGCGGUAAUACGGAGGGUGCAAGCGUUACUCGGAAUCACUGGGCGUAAAGGACGCGUAGGCGGGUUGUAAAGUCAGGUGUGAAAUCCUACAGCUUAACUGUAGAACUGCACUUGAAACUUCUAAUCUUGAGUAUGGGAGGGGGAGAUGGAAUUAGUGGUGUAGGGGUAAAAUCCGUAGACAUCACUAGGAAUACCUAAAGCGAAGGCGAUCUCCUGGAACAUUACUGACGCUAAGGCGUGAAAGCGUGGGGAGCAAACAGGAUUAGAUACCCCCGUAGUC
RNAcentral lists this ribosomal RNA (439 nucleotides) under uncultured bacterium. RNAcentral describes it as "partial 16S ribosomal RNA". It matches the Rfam family "Bacterial small subunit ribosomal RNA", at positions 339 to 795 of the family's 1533-position model. The record is from RNAcentral.